This is a non-coding RNA of Peromyscus maniculatus bairdii (prairie deer mouse), 420 nucleotides long. NCBI's taxonomy places the organism in Eukaryota, Metazoa, Chordata, Mammalia, Rodentia, Cricetidae. The record is from RefSeq and is a predicted model, not a curated record.
GGCAUGGGUGCACACCGCAUUGAGCAUGUGGAGGUCAGAGGACAACUCUUGGGAGCUGAUGCUGGAAUGUUCUUACACUUGGAAGGGUCCAAAGGGAUCUGAUCGAGGGCCUUGGACAUCUAGUUUCUAAGAACUCCUAACAAGCAUCCAGAAAGAAAGCACACACAGGUUCAAAUGAACAAGACGAACAGGCUGUAGCCACCGCAAGGACACCACCUAAAAAGUGUUACCUACCUCCUGAGGAAAGUAAGCACACUGAGCGUCAUAAAUAAGACUUCCUUACUUUAUAUAGGAAGGAAGUGUUGUACCUGUUUCUCGAAACCCCCAGAGACCACCAAGGAGCCGGUUUCCGAUGCAAGCACAUAAGGGUCCUUUUAAUUCAGGUUCAACCUGGGCCACCGCCAGGCAGAUGGAGGGAAA